AUGGUAGAGAGGCCAACUAGGAAGGAAGCUCUUUUCAAAUUCCUGCUCACGAACAGGGAGGAAUUGGUUGAGAACGUGAACAUGGAAGUUAGCUUGAUGUUUCAGUAACACUGAAAUGGUAAGGGUUCAAGAUCCCAACGGGAAGAAGGAAAGCAGC
This is a non-coding RNA of Alligator mississippiensis (American alligator), 157 nucleotides long. The record is from Rfam. Lineage: Eukaryota; Metazoa; Chordata; Crocodylia; Alligatoridae.